Molecule: ribosomal RNA, 829 nt
Filed under: Irpex lacteus
Lineage: Eukaryota; Fungi; Basidiomycota; Agaricomycetes; Polyporales; Irpicaceae
Description: partial large subunit ribosomal RNA
Rfam family: Eukaryotic large subunit ribosomal RNA
Source: RNAcentral
AGUGAAGCGGGAAAAGCUCAAAUUUAAAAUCUGGCGGCUUUGGUCGUCCGAGUUGUAUUCUAGAGAAGUGUUUUCCGCGUUGGACCGUGUAUAAGUCUCUUGGAAUAGAGCGUCAUAGAGGGUGAGAAUCCCGUCUUUGACACGGACUACCAAUGCUUUGUGAUACACUCUCAAAGAGUCGAGUUGUUUGGGAAUGCAGCUCAAAAUGGGUGGUAAAUUCCAUCUAAAGCUAAAUAUUGGCGAGAGACCGAUAGCGAACAAGUACCGUGAGGGAAAGAUGAAAAGCACUUUGGAAAGAGAGUUAAACAGUACGUGAAAUUGCUGAAAGGGAAACGCUUGAAGUCAGUCGCGUUAGCUAGAACUCAACCAGGCUUGCUUGGCGUAUUUUCUAGUUAACGGGCCAGCAUCAGUUUUGACCGCAGGAAAAGGGCCGGGGAAAUGUGGCAUCUUCGGAUGUGUUAUAGUCUCUGGUCGUAUACUGUGAUUGGGACUGAGGACCGCAGCACGCGCAAGCUGUGCUUAGGAUGCUGGCGUAAUGGCUUUAAACGACCCGUCUUGAAACACGGACCAAGGAGUCUAACAAACCUGCGAGUAUUUGGGUGGUAAACCCGAGUGCGCAAUGAAAGUGAAAGUUGGGAUUCCUGUCGUGGGAAGCACCGACGCCCGGACCAGACCUUCUGUGACGGAUCUGCGGUAGAGCAUGUUUGUUGGGACCCGAAAGAUGGUGAACUAUGCCUGAAUAGGGUGAAGCCAGAGGAAACUCUGGUGGAGGCUCGUAGCGAUUCUGACGUGCAAAUCGAUCGUCAAAUUUGGGUAUAGGGGCGAAAGA